Molecule: long non-coding RNA, 492 nt
Filed under: Pan troglodytes (chimpanzee)
Lineage: Eukaryota; Metazoa; Chordata; Mammalia; Primates; Hominidae
Description: lincRNA
Source: RNAcentral
CUCCAGGGGUGCGUGACAGGUUGGGAGCUGCGGUGGGUCCAGGCAGAAAUGGCUUCCCUGGGAAGGUGCUGCGGAAGAGGCGUCUCUGGAGACGUGCUUCGUGAGGAGAGAAGCUGAAGUGUUGCAAACAACACUGGUUGGGUUGUUUCCUGUCAAUUAUGGAGUGAUGAGGUCAUGCACUUCAUUCUGGCCAGUCAUUGAUAUGAUUUGGCAUUCUCUGCAUGCCAGGCAAGAGUGACUGCUCUUCAGGCCAGAUCUUCCUUCGAGAUGGAUGUUAUCUCCUUUUUAGGAAGGAGGAAACAGAGAGACCUCGUAACUUGGCGUGGCCACACAAUGGGAAUAAAGUGAGUGACCAAGAGGCUGAAUAUCUUCUCCAAAGCCAAAGAACCAGGCAGUGGCAGAGAUCCAAACCCAGGCGAUUCGGGUGCCAGGGCUCAAGCACUUCCCCAUGCAGCCACUGCCUCGAGAAAUAAAAAGACUCACCAGACACUU